Molecule: transfer RNA, 68 nt
Filed under: Marmota monax (woodchuck)
Lineage: Eukaryota; Metazoa; Chordata; Mammalia; Rodentia; Sciuridae
Description: tRNA.Undet
Source: RNAcentral
GGGGUUGUAGCUCAGUGGUUGAGCACUUCACAUGUGUGAGGCACUGGGUUCGAUCCUCAGCAACACAU